This 325-nucleotide long non-coding RNA is filed under the name Equus asinus (donkey). Its description in RNAcentral is "lncRNA (ENSEASG00005038766.1)". Lineage: Eukaryota; Metazoa; Chordata; Mammalia; Perissodactyla; Equidae. The record is from RNAcentral.
GGACAGAGGUCAUCACCCUAACUUGGUAGAUGAGAAAACUGAGGCACAGAGAAGCCGGAUGAGAUUGCAAAGUCGCAGCAACUGAAACAACUAAAUAUCGGUGUGAAAACUCGAAUGAAGAGGCCCACGACGCUGAAGACAAGGACGAAAAAGAGAGAGUUUAACAAAAAACAAGAAGGACCCGAAAACGCUCUGGACCCCACAGACAGCACACCGAGAAAAUCCAGUUGGGAGGAAUAGAAAGAAGAUGGAGAAAGAAGAACGAACCUGCUCUUCACCCUUUAGGUUUUUCGUUUUUUAGAAGCCCAAGGGAAUUUUAUCAACA